UAGCCGUAAACGAUACUCGCUAGGUGUCGGCCACGGCGCGACCGUUGUCGGUGCCGUAGGGAAGCCGUGAAGCGAGCCACCUGGGAAGUACGGCCGCAAGGCUGAAACUUAAAGGAAUUGGCGGGGGAGCACAACAACGGGUGGAGCUUGCGGUUUAAUUGGAUUCAACGCCGGAAAUCUUACCGGGACCGACAGCAACAUGAAGGCCAAGCUGAAGACUUUGCCGGAUUAGCUGAGAGGAGGUGCAUGGCGUAGUCGUGU
Molecule: ribosomal RNA, 261 nt
Filed under: uncultured archaeon
Lineage: Archaea
Description: partial 16S ribosomal RNA
Rfam family: Archaeal small subunit ribosomal RNA
Source: RNAcentral